RNAcentral lists this ribosomal RNA (195 nucleotides) under Bacillus safensis. RNAcentral describes it as "partial 16S ribosomal RNA". It matches the Rfam family "Bacterial small subunit ribosomal RNA", at positions 1 to 193 of the family's 1533-position model. Lineage: Bacteria; Bacillati; Bacillota; Bacilli; Caryophanales; Bacillaceae. The record is from RNAcentral.
CCUCGGAGAGUUUGAUCCUGGCUCAGGACGAACGCUGGCGGCGUGCCUAAUACAUGCAAGUCGAGCGGACAGAAGGGAGCUUGCUCCCGGAUGUUAGCGGCGGACGGGUGAGUAACACGUGGGUAACCUGCCUGUAAGACUGGGAUAACUCCGGGAAACCGGAGCUAAUACCGGAUAGUUCCUUGAACCGCAUGG